GAUGAACGCUGGCGGCGUGCCUAAUACAUGCAAGUCGAGCGAACGGACGAGAAGCUUGCUUCUCUGACGUUAGCGGCGGACGGGUGAGUAACACGUGGAUAACCUACCUAUAAGACUGGGAUAACUUCGGGAAACCGGAGCUAAUACCGGAUGAUAUUUUGAACCGCAUGGUUCAAAAGUGAAAGACGGUCUUGCUGUCACUUCUCGCUGGAUCCGCGCUGCAUUAGCUAGUUGGUAAGGUAACGGCUUACCAAGGAAACGAUGCAUAGCCGACCUGAGAGGGUGAUCGGCCACACUGGAACUGAGACACGGUCAAGACUCCUGAGGGAGGCAGCAGUAGGGAAUCGUCCGCAAUGGGCGAAAGUCUGACGGAGCAACGCCGCGUGAGUGAUGAAGGUCUUCGGAUCGUAAAACUCUGUUAUUAGGGAAGAACAUAUGUGUAAGUAACUGUGCACAUCUUGACGGUACCUAAUCAGAAAGCCCCGGCUAACUACGUG
This 497-nucleotide ribosomal RNA is filed under the name uncultured bacterium. Its description in RNAcentral is "partial 16S ribosomal RNA". It matches the Rfam family "Bacterial small subunit ribosomal RNA", at positions 28 to 507 of the family's 1533-position model. The record is from RNAcentral.